CAAAGGUCUGGUCCUAGCCUUACUAUUUGUUUUAACUAAACUUACACAUGCAAGUCUCUUCUCCCCAGUGAAAAUGCCCUUUACCCUCCUAUUAGAGGGAGAGGAGUCGGUAUCAGGCUCAAUUAGCCCAAGACACCUAGCUUAGCCACACCCCCAAGGGACCCCAGCAGUGAUUAAUAUUAAACAUUGGCGCAAGCCAGAUUUAGUUAUAGUUAAGAAAGUCGGUUAAUUUCGUGCCAGCCACCGCGGUUAUACGAGAGACUUUAACUAAUAGACGUCGGCGUAAAGCGUGAUUAGGGAAUUAAUACAAUAAAGUUAAACUCUAGCCUAGCUGUUAUACGCUUACGCCCUUGAGAAACCCAUUAACGAAAGUAACUUUAAUCCCCCCCCGAACUCACGGUAGCCAAGACACAAACUAGGAUUAGAUACCCUACUAUGCUUGGCCUCAAACUUUGAUUAUUUACACCCACCAUCCGCCAGGGGACUACGAGCAAUAGCUUAAAACCCAAAGGACUUGGCGGUGCCCUACACCACCUAGAGGAGCCUGUUCUAUAAUCGAUAAUCCACGAUACACCUCACCGUUUCUUGCCAAGACCGCCUAUAUACCGCCGUCGUCAACUUACCCCUUGAGGGGUACAUAGUAAGUUUAAGGGUAUUCACCAAAACGUCAGGUCAAGGUGUAGCGAAUGAAACGGGAAGAAAUGGGCUACAUUUUCUAUAUUAGAUUAUACGGACAACCAAUAUGAAACUUGGUUGCAAAGGAGGAUUUAGCAGUAAAAAGAAAUCAUUAAAUUCUUUUUAACAAGGCCCUAGGGCGCGCACACACCGCCCGUCGCCCUCUUCGACUCUUUAAAAUUUAUUCAUGAUAAGUUAACUACGAAACUAGAAGAGGUAAGUCGUAACAUGGUAAGUAUACCGGAAGGUGUACUUGGAACAG
This 937-nucleotide non-coding RNA is filed under the name Leptobrachium boringii (Emei moustache toad). Its description in RNAcentral is "12S ribosomal RNA". It matches the Rfam family "Bacterial small subunit ribosomal RNA". Lineage: Eukaryota; Metazoa; Chordata; Amphibia; Anura; Megophryidae. The record is from RNAcentral.